This 468-nucleotide ribosomal RNA is filed under the name uncultured bacterium. Its description in RNAcentral is "partial 16S ribosomal RNA". It matches the Rfam family "Bacterial small subunit ribosomal RNA", at positions 28 to 507 of the family's 1533-position model. The record is from RNAcentral.
GACGAACGCUGGCGGCGUGCUUAACACAUGCAAGUCGAACGGAAAGGCCCUGCUUUUGUGGGGUGCUCGAGUGGCGAACGGGUGAGUAACACGUGAGUAACCUGCCCUUGACUUUGGGAUAACUUCAGGAAACUGGGGCUAAUACCGGAUAGGAGCUCCUGCUGCAUGGUGGGGGUUGGAAAGUUUCGGCGGUUGGGGAUGGACUCGCGGCUUAUCAGCUUGUUGGUGGGGUAGUGGCUUACCAAGGCUUUGACGGGUAGCCGGCCUGAGAGGGUGACCGGCCACAAUGGGACUGAGAGACGGCCCAGACUCCUACGGGGGGCAGCAGUGGGGAAUAUUGCACAAUGGGCGGAAGCCUGAUGCAGCAACGCCGCGUGCGGGAUGACGGCCUUCGGGGUGUAAACCGCUUUCGCCUGUGACGAAGCGUGAGUGACGGUAAUGGGUAAAGAAGCACCGGCUAACUACGUG